UACGAAGGGGGCUAGCGUUGCUCGGAAUUACUGGGCGUAAAGCGCACGUAGGCGGAUUGUUAAGUCGGGGGUGAAAUCCUGGAGCUCAACUCCAGAACUGCCUUCGAUACUGGCGAUCUCGAGUUUGGGAGAGGUGAGUGGAACUGCGAGUGUAGAGGUGAAAUUCGUAGAUAUUCGCAAGAACACCAGUGGCGAAGGCGGCUCACUGGCCCGAUACUGACGCUGAGGUGCGAAAGCGUGGGGAGCAAACAGG
Molecule: ribosomal RNA, 253 nt
Filed under: uncultured bacterium
Lineage: Bacteria
Description: partial 16S ribosomal RNA
Rfam family: Bacterial small subunit ribosomal RNA
Source: RNAcentral